CACUCUCCUCACCCUCAUUAAAAUUCUCUGAAAAUAAAACCACCUCUUCUUACCACCACCAAAUCUAGCUAACAUAUCCAAAACCUACAACCACUACCAAACACCACCAACUUCCGUCGUGGACCAUCACCGGCGGUCUCUGAUUCUCAUGCGCCGUCCACUUCUACACAAUCGGCACUGGCUUUUUUCCGGUCAGGUGAGUGUGAUUUACUAGGUCGGUGAAAGAUACGACGCCACCGUUUCUGCAAUAAUUGGCACCACCAACCGGAGGAAUAGGAGAAGAAGCAAGGAUCUAGAUCUGAAAAUCACUCGGUUCACGUAACAGUCGUCUCACCGGAAAAGGUGUUCCGUUUCAUUGCAGGGAUCUAGAUCUGAAAAUCAUUCCGUUCACAUAACAGUUGUCACUGCUGCAGGCGUUGCACAGAUCUACAUCUGAAAAUCAUUCCGGUUCCGUCGAUUAACAUUUUAUUCAUUCGUUUCAGGAAAAUCUCAGCAAAUCGUCGAUUAACAUUUUGUUCAUUACGUACGUUGAAGAAAAAUACUCAGAAUGUGAAGUAUUUGUUUCCAUGGUGGAUAUUAAUUUUAAGCAGAGGGAUGUUUACGUAUUUGUCUUAUUGUCUUCCAUGGAGGAGAGUGUGAGUUAAGAUAGAGAUGGAGGGGGUGAGGGUAAAUAUUAAGCUUUGUUAUAAAUUUUAAUUUAAUUAAAUUUGUAAAAAGACCAAACUGUCCUUAAGUGAAUAGAUUUAACUAAAAAUUU
RNAcentral lists this long non-coding RNA (757 nucleotides) under Helianthus annuus (common sunflower). RNAcentral's name for it is "hypothetical non coding rna". The record is from RNAcentral. Lineage: Eukaryota; Viridiplantae; Streptophyta; Magnoliopsida; Asterales; Asteraceae.